RNAcentral lists this long non-coding RNA (1014 nucleotides) under Prunus persica (peach). Its description in RNAcentral is "long non-coding RNA (PPER_LNC003891)". The record is from RNAcentral. Lineage: Eukaryota; Viridiplantae; Streptophyta; Magnoliopsida; Rosales; Rosaceae.
UGUGGCUAUGAGGUAGUAGGCUAAUAUUUAAUUGUACUGUAUUUCUUUAUACAUUUAAGCCUAAAGUGAAAUUCAGCACCAGACUAAAUUACAAUACAGCCCCUUGAAAGUUCCGCCCUUGACAGGCAGUGUUAUAUUAAGGUAGCCUAUUCUGGUUUGGGGCCUGGGGGACUCUUCAGUCAAUAAGAGGAGGAGGAUGCCCUUCAAUCUCAUGAUUAGCUCCUUGAAUUUCUAAGGCCAUCUCCAGCCAUGGGUUAUAUCUCAAAUAUAGCCCUAAAUUGAUGCAAAACUCAUCUCCAGUCAUGGACUAAAUAAAAUUUUGGCCAAAUUUGGCCCUUUAGCCCUCCAACCAGGCCAAAUGUACCCUAGCUUUGGCCUAGGAUAAAUUUAUAGUAGGCCUCAUUCAUGUGAUUUUCAACAACCAAUCAUUAGAGCACUACCCACUCCUCUUUCUGAAAAUAAUAAAAUAUGAAGGAUCCUAAAAUAUAGCCAUGCAUGGCUGGAGAUGGAAAAAUUUAGCCCUACAUUAUUCUUUAAAAAAUUAAUAUUUGAAGGGGCUAAAUUUUUACCCAUGGACUACAUUUAGCCCUAUGGCUGGAGAUGACCUAAGUGACAGUGCAUUACGAAUAAAGAGGGGAAGAGGGGAUACAUUUUUAUACCAACCACUUGUUAUUAUUUUUUGAGAUAUUUAGUCAUAUAUCCGUUCUUAGCACUAAUAAUAUAGAUAAACUUUACACCAUUUAAUUUCUAUAAAUAAACCCAAAAAAAAACAGCUGACCUUAUUGAAUUUAAUUUUGAUUAUUAAAUUACUUUGAUGCCCUAUUGAGUGUUUUGGGUGUUUUUAUGAGGUUUUGGGGUUGAGCUUGUUUUAAGAAAUUGAUGGUAGCUUUGUAAUUUAUAAGAAGUUAAAAGCCUCUUUGUUAUGUUGUAAAUGGACUUUUGGUGUGUUUCUAAGAUCCAUUUCAUAUAGGGUUUUUUAUUUUUUUUAUUUUAUAAUUUAGGCUCCUAUAUUGG